This 602-nucleotide ribosomal RNA is filed under the name Malassezia vespertilionis. RNAcentral describes it as "eukaryotic LSU rRNA". It matches the Rfam family "Eukaryotic large subunit ribosomal RNA", at positions 62 to 648 of the family's 3401-position model. The record is from RNAcentral. Lineage: Eukaryota; Fungi; Basidiomycota; Malasseziomycetes; Malasseziales; Malasseziaceae.
AAACUAACAAGGAUUCCCCUAGUAACGGCGAGCGAAGCGGGAAGAGCUCAAAUUUGAAAGCUGGCACCUUUGGUGUCCGCGUUGUAAUCUCGAGACGUGUUUUCCGUACGGCGCUAUGGACAAGUUCCUUGGAAUAGGACAUCGUAGAGGGUGAAAAUCCCGUACUUGCCAUGGAUGCCCCGUGCUUUGUGAUACACGCUCCAAGAGUCGAGUUGUUUGGGAUUGCAGCUCAAAAUGGGUGGUAGACUCCAUCUAAAGCUAAAUAUCGGGGAGAGACCGAUAGCGAACAAGUACCGUGAGGGAAAGAUGAAAAGCACUUUGGAAAGAGAGUUAAAAGUACGUGAAAUUGUCGAAAGGGAAGCACUUGAAGUCAGCCAUGCAGUUCGGAACUCAGCCUUGCAUUUUUGCUUGGUGUAUUUUCCGAACAGCAAGUCAGCAUUGAUUCGUGCCGCCGGAGAAGGGUGCUUGGAAUGUAGUGCCCUCGGGCAUGUUAUAGCCUUGCACUGGAUACGGCGGCGUGGAUCAAGGAACGCAGUGCGCCCUCGUGGCGGGUCUUCGGACACCUUCGCACUUAGGAUGCUGGCGUAAUGGCUUCAAGUGGC